Onychostruthus taczanowskii (white-rumped snowfinch) is the source of this 203-nucleotide long non-coding RNA. RefSeq lists it as uncharacterized. NCBI's taxonomy places the organism in Eukaryota, Metazoa, Chordata, Aves, Passeriformes, Passeridae. The record is from RefSeq and is a predicted model, not a curated record. The transcript is spliced from 3 exons.
CGGCAGGCGGCAACGGCCCUUGGUCAUGGAGUUUGAUGAGACGGUGCAGGAGGGCCUGAGACGCAGCAAUGCGCGGUUUCUGGCGUGUAUGAAUAAGAUCUUAGACCAGUACAAUCGUGACUUCGAAGAUGAUAUCCUGGUGUCCAUCGGCACCUUGACUUACGAAACACCUGAAGGACCAAAAGGAUGGGAGAAGGUGUCUA